This 1938-nucleotide long non-coding RNA is filed under the name Centruroides sculpturatus (bark scorpion). RNAcentral describes it as "uncharacterized LOC111612407". Lineage: Eukaryota; Metazoa; Arthropoda; Arachnida; Scorpiones; Buthidae. The record is from RNAcentral.
AGAUGAGGUCCUUCAGAAACUGUUGUGCCACGAAGAGAGAAAGACAGUCUAGCAAUAGAAAUUUUUAAAUGUUUAAAAUAUUUAGAAUUAUUCUUAAACAAAUGAAAUAUGUUUCUAUGAAAACUUUGUCUUCAUGCCCAUUUCCCAGAAGGGGAUGAAGAAUAAGGAAAAAUUAGAAGGAAGAAAGUAUUGCUGAAUGGCAAUUUUAUACUUGGUUUCAAGGAACGUACAAGAAAAUAUUGUUUAUCAAAUGUUCCAUUCAAAAAUAAUGUUGAAAUAUUACAGUACAGAAUGCAUCUUAGAUCAUUUUUAAAAUGUAUGGAGGAGAAACACGGAUGCUACAAUGCUAUUUUCAAUUUUGAUUACACAAUGCAACUUUAAGUCUUAUUUAAAGAGAUUUAAACAAAUAUUUUUAAUUUCAUUGCCCCUUUUCGAUACACUCAGUUUUGAAAAAUUAUAAAAAUUAAGGAAUUUACAUUGAGAUAUAAAGAGAAAGAUAAAAAUAUGUGCAUACACUAAAAUAAUUACAGCAUACUUUAUUAUAAUUGCAGACACAGGUCUUAACACAAAAUAUAAAUUCAAUUGUAGCUAUCUUUAAAUCUGUGCAAGAAAUAUUACACAAAACUGAAAACAAGAUUAUGUCAAAAUAUUUUAAUAAUAAUAUGGUUCAUAAACUGGUUUGAAAUUUGUACAAAACUCUCCAAAUAAGCCUUUACCACAAUACUCUAUUUUUUAAACAUUUUCAGCCAUUUGAGCAGGCAUUAUUAUGAUGCAUCGAAGAGAAUACAAAACAGGAAGCCCAAUUUCAAAAUUAAAUUAAACAUGUUGAAUAAGAACAAUUUAAAACAAGCAUGUAGUAAUGGACGAAAAAUAAAUAAUUCAAUAAAGAAAUAAAAAACAAUUAUAAACACAAUAAAAUAAUAUAAAAUAUGACAAAAAACAUACAUAAUAAAAUAAGAAAUAAAAGUACAAAUAGUAUAAAUAAAAUACAAAAAAUAAUAUGAUAUCCUGAACCAUCUUAUUUGUAAAGCAAUUGGAAGUUUCCAAAAUUAUUUUGGAUAACCACAUUUAUGUUCAUAGUGAUUUAACUUUCUCUAAAGAAUUAACAACUGAAGAAUUGUUACAAAAUAUGAUAAUUGCAAAUACAGUUAAUAGCAAUGUCAACUUGUUAACAAAGUAGAAUGUACAGUACUCUGUUAAUUACUAUCUUGGAUGCAAUUAAAUGUGUUAGCAUCUACAUUAUUAAGUGUGUAAUAAGAAACUGAUGUUUCCUAAGAUAUUUUUGAUAAAUUGGAUGAAAUUGAACUAAAAUUUAAUUCUUUAGAACUUAUUGGAAAGUAUCAAUUCAAUUCCUUGCACAGAAAGCUAGAACUUCUUUAAAUAAGUUUCACUCUUUUUCUAGCAGUUUCUUAAUCCAUAAGAGAACAAACGUUUUUGGCCAUUUUAAAUGGCCUUCUUCAGGUUCUAUAACAUUGGAACGGCAGUUAACGAGGAGUGAUUGCCAAGCAGUGGAGAGCAAGUUCGCAUCUCUGUUGUUAAUACAAUUUUCUUUGAGGGAUUUUUCAAAGAUUUCUAGUGUUUCUAUUGUUCUAAGUUUGUUACUAUUGAGAAUUAGUAUUAAAAUCUUAUCAUCUUCCCAUUUGGCCAUUAUAUUUGACUCGCUUGCAAAUUGGGCUAGUGUGGUAUUAAACUUUUUAUUGUAUCGUAUUUAUGCUCGGCGAUCCUUUUUGUAAGUGAUCUGUUGGUUGAGCCUAUGUAUGUUAAGUUUUUGUUCAGAUUAAAUACAGAUUAAGAAACUGCUAGAAAAAGAGUGAAAGGUUUUGUGAAACUUAAGCAUCAAUUCAUUCAAAUAAAUAAAAGAAAUUUCUGUCAUUCCUGAAAGGUGAAUCUAUAUAUAUAAAAAUGAAUGUGUGUGUGUGUGUGUGUGUGUGUGUGUCU